This 253-nucleotide ribosomal RNA is filed under the name uncultured bacterium. Its description in RNAcentral is "partial 16S ribosomal RNA". It matches the Rfam family "Bacterial small subunit ribosomal RNA", at positions 524 to 776 of the family's 1533-position model. The record is from RNAcentral.
UACAGAGGUCUCAAGCGUUGUUCGGAUUCAUUGGGCGUAAAGGGUGCGUAGGCGGCGAGGUAAGUCAGAUGUGAAAGUCCUGGGCUUAACCCAGGAAGUGCAUUUGAUACUGCUUUGCUAGAGAACUGGAGAGGAGAGUGGAAUUCACGGUGUAGCAGUGAAAUGCGUAGAUAUCGUGAGGAAGGCCAGUGGCGAAAGCGGCUCUCUGGACAGUUUCUGACGCUGAUGCACGAAGGCUAGGGGAGCGAACGGG